UUCCCUGCAGAAGCUCUCUCUUUCUCUGCUUCCAUCCAGCUGAGACAUGACUUGCUUUUUCUUGCCUUCUAACAUGAUUGUGAGGCUUCCUCAGCUACGUGGAAAUAAACUCCUGGAGGGCAGAUGCAUGCCUGCCAUCUUCAUCGUUUCAUUACCACCAUCCAACACUAUCGGGGGACCUGCCCUGAUAAUCAGUCUACAGGUGUAUCCAGCAGCUCCAGAGAGACAGCGACCAGCGAGAAGGGGCCAUGAUGAUGGUGGUGGUUUUGUCAAAAUGAAAAGGGGGAUAUGUAGGGAAAAGAAAGAGAGAUCAGACUGUUACUGUGUCUACAUAGAAAGGGAAGCCAUAAGAGACUCCAUUUUG
RNAcentral lists this long non-coding RNA (364 nucleotides) under Homo sapiens (human). Its description in RNAcentral is "HSALNT0344849". The record is from RNAcentral. Lineage: Eukaryota; Metazoa; Chordata; Mammalia; Primates; Hominidae.